GGCAGCGUUUGGCAGAGCGGAGAUUUUUGGGCCCUGCCCGGGCAGCGCAGCACCAAACGUGCUGCGGUGCUGCCUCCGGACGGGCAGGGCACGGGGUCGGAGGCGUGCUGCUCCCUCGGCAAGGAAAAAAGGAAAAUAAGACACACCGGCGGAGGGAAGGCCGAGCUUUAACCAAGGGCAGGGAGAAGGCAUUGCAUAAACUGCAAAGGCGCGGUGCUGGAAACGGGCUGGGCGCGGGCCUCGCUCCGCUCCCAGCUGAAUUAAGGGGAGUUUCACCGCUGGCUUAACGGGAAUAAAGGCAGGCUGCGUCCCAAAACCCCGUUCUUUAGAAGUUAGAGUCUGAGACAGAUUAAUUGGAAACAGGCUUAGAAGAGCCAGUUACACGCAAACGUUGGACAGAGUCCUGCAAAACUCCCUCCAGUCUACGAGCAAACGCUUCUGUAAAACUUCAGGAUUACAUCCGAAACUGAAGGAUCAGCGGCCCACGAUUUGCAUCCACCAAAAUCAACCAUUCCCUUUAAUUUUCGCUCUGAUUUUCCUCUAAAUCCUAUUUUUUUCUCACUGGGUUGCGUUUCCCCACAGCUAGAUAUGAAACUCCUGCUUAAACCGAACGAUGAGCGCUGCGAUCUUGACAUGCCUUUCCCAGAGAUGUGUAACGCUGCCUGGAGAGCUGUGCCAAGAUCAAACUGCUUCGGAUUGAAGAAUUCAGCCUGCUUGGAAAAGGAGAUAAGAAUCUGCGCCUUUUUUUUGUUGUGUUGUUUUAAAGGAACAUUUAAGGUGGCAAACACGGAGUUUAGCUACUGAAAGGCAGUUGACUAAUGAAAAAGCUUCCUAAACGGUGAAAUACCGCUCAGCUCCAGCAAGCAUAUUCUGUUUCAAUCGCUGUGUACGUGGGCGUACAAUAUUUUUCACAGAUUGCCCGCAAAACUCAUCACUACUUAUAUGAUAAUAUUUGGGGGCUGAAUUUAUUGCUGGCUGGAAUAAGUGCCUUUCUUCAGCCCUCUGAAGUAAUUCCUUAGGUUGCCAUGUUGCCGCAGCACUCCAUGAGCCGAUACAAGAGUUGGAAAUCCCAUCACCCAGGUUCUGCUCCUGUGUCUCAGCUGCCUAAAGGGAAGCCCUCUGAACUCACCAGCUUGCUGCAUUUUUGGUGCCUGAGAAAAGUGACCAGCCAGCAGUGUUUGUCCGGUCCUUAACAGGAUACCAGGAACCGGGAAAAAACAAGCACUUAGAAAUCAGAAAUCAUCCUUAGCAUUCCUAAUAAGCCUUAACCUUUCCAGUGAUGCAGAGGGCAAUUAUUGCACUUUUUACCCUCCAUGAAGUGCAGGAAAUACAGGUUUAUUUGCCAGUAUGCACAGAAAUCAAGGCAUAUAACUUCUCUUCCAGUAACAAUUUGCUCUAUUGCCCAAAUGUAGCACAUUCCUACCAGCCUUGGCACUGUCUGGGCCCUUGGUGAGGUCUAUGCCUGAAUUUGGUUUCUGCCUCCAGCACUGGUUUCUCCCGUUCCUUUGGGCUGUUAUUUGACACACUUCUGUCUCUGCUGCUCAGCUGCCUAUAAAACAAGGAUGAGACAUCCUAGGUUUCCCUGGGAUGCUUUCCAAUGAUUGUAAUAACUGAGUUUUGAUGCUAACAUGUAAAUAGAUGGAAGAAUGCUAAAUAUUACUCAAAUGAAGAAUAAUAUUCAUAUAGGUACACCAAGAGGUUCUGGGCUGAAUGGAACUCCAUUUAAAUAAGCAUGUAUUAUUACUUUUCAUUGCUUUGCUUUCUAUAGUGCAAUAAAAAUGGUUUUGCCUCUCUUGUGACAGUGAAUACAAAGAACAAUGUCACAUAUGUUAAAAUACAUCAUAUAUCAUACAGAUAGAUAAAUUCAUAUAUGUGUUCGUGUGUAUGUUAAACUUGCUUGAUAUGCAAGCUUGCAUACUAUGGUUGCUUGCAAGGUUGUUUUCAGUAGCUGCUUUUUCACAAAAAAUGCAAUGAGUUAUUUUAGACUAUGAGAAAAGAAUCAUUUACUGUCAUUUGGGCUUAUUUCCCAGAUGGCAUAAUGUGAAGCUGUUACCAGGUAAAGUCUUCUUGCAGCAGUUUAUAACUCUUAGGUAUUAAGAUUUUUUUUUUUCACAUAUUCUUGUUAUUUAUUAAUAGUUAUGAAUCUACUUGUGACUUUACAGUGUAAUUCUAAGACAGGAUUGUACAAAAAGUAAAAUAGAACAAACUGUGUAAAUUACAAUGCAUCUGUAUAAAACUGUA
Long non-coding RNA from Cygnus olor (mute swan), 2241 nucleotides. RefSeq lists it as uncharacterized. The record is from RefSeq and is a predicted model, not a curated record. The transcript is spliced from 4 exons. Lineage: Eukaryota; Metazoa; Chordata; Aves; Anseriformes; Anatidae.